This 361-nucleotide ribosomal RNA is filed under the name uncultured bacterium. Its description in RNAcentral is "bacterial SSU rRNA". It matches the Rfam family "Bacterial small subunit ribosomal RNA", at positions 29 to 371 of the family's 1533-position model. The record is from RNAcentral.
AACGAACGCUGGCGGCGUGGAUUAGGCAUGCAAGUCGAACGCGAAAGAGGGGGCAACCCCUCGAGUAGAGUGGCGAACGGGUGAGUAACGCGUGAAGAACCUGCCUUCAACAGGGGGAUAACACUCCCAACGGGGUGCUAAUACCGCAUGAGACCACGGAUCUGCAUGGAUCUGAGGUCAAAGGUGGCCUCUGCUUGCAAGCUACCGGUUGAAGAUGGCUUCGCGUCCCAUUAGCUAGUUGGCGGUGUAACGGACCACCAAGGCGACGAUGGGUAGCUGGUCUGAGAGGAUGGUCAGCCACACUGGGACUGAGAUACGGCCCAGACUCCUACGGGAGGCAGCAGUCGAGAGGCUUCGGCAA